Molecule: long non-coding RNA, 1050 nt
Filed under: Suricata suricatta (meerkat)
Lineage: Eukaryota; Metazoa; Chordata; Mammalia; Carnivora; Herpestidae
Description: lncRNA (ENSSSUG00005010107.1)
Source: RNAcentral
CUAUCAGUAUCUUUAUCUGUGUAUCUACAGUCACCCGGAAAGGGAAGUCAUUAAAUGCUAACUGUGGGAUCAGGGAGAUUUUUUUCCUUUUUCUUAUUAUCCACUUUCUAUGUGUCCUGAAUUUUCCAUAAGCAUUAUGUUCCCCUAAUAAAACUGAAAUUUUCCAUUGAAGAAGAGAGAAACGUGCUGUUUCUUACGAAGAUGGUCUUUGAAAAGCGGUGUUCACAGUAUGCCUGGUCUUCCUUCUGCUCCAGUUAGGGCUGACCCCUCCUCCCUCUGCCAAUCGUAUACAGGGUUUUUCAGAAUUUAUGACGCCUUGUAUUCCUUAUUUGCUCUCAGAAAUCACCUACCGCCCUGACCAGAGUUUGCGCAGCCACCUGUAGACUGCCAAGAUGAAAGAAAAGAAAGUCCCGUGCAGACGCUUACUCUCUGUCAGGUAAGUAGCCGGAGACUGGCCGGGACUGACCGCACCCCACAGCAUUCAGGCUCUGCGCUGUCAGCAUGAGCCCAGCGUGGGGCUUGAACUCACAAACCAGGAGGGGAUGACCUGAGCCGAAGUCACGAGCUGGAUUCUUAACCGUCUGAGCCACCUGCGUGCUCCAGGGUGUUAGGAUUUCGAGGCAACGGGCCCCUUAUGUCUUUUGAGUGUCUUCCUGUGAACCUUUUCUUUCUGUUGCAGUUGUCAGCAGGACUUCACAUCUUCAAAGUCACAGUUUCCAGGGAUGAAGCCCCGGAGAAGGAUUCACAGAUGUCACCACGAAGCCAGAAAGUACAGAUGACCCGAAUAUAGUGAGUUCUCGCUGGGAAGAAAUUAACGGCCCUUCGGAGAGGGGACCCCAGCGCAGGCCCCUGUCCUACGUCUGUCUGACCUUGUUCCAGGAAACUGUACUUUCAGGCAAGUGGUUUCCCCUCCUAGACUGUGCUUUCCAGUACUUGUGUCCUGACCAUUUCCUUAAAUCGAUGCCUGUAACAUACGCCGUGCCGUACUCUCUUUGACCGAGUCGCGAGGCGGAUUUGGCUUCCGUGGGGGUUUUGGUUGGCAACCCCUUC